Molecule: ribosomal RNA, 429 nt
Filed under: Chloroflexota bacterium
Lineage: Bacteria; Bacillati; Chloroflexota
Description: Chloroflexi bacterium partial 16S ribosomal RNA
Rfam family: Bacterial small subunit ribosomal RNA
Source: RNAcentral
UGGGGAAUAUUGCACAAUGGGCGCAAGCCUGAUGCAGCCAUGCCGCGUGUAUGAAGAAGGCCUUCGGGUUGUAAAGUACUUUCAGCGGGGAGGAAGGGAGUAAAGUUAAUACCUUUGCUCAUUGACGUUACCCGCAGAAGAAGCACCGGCUAACUCCGCGCCAGCAGCCGCGGUAAUAUGGAGGGUGCAAGCGUUAAUCGGAAUUACUGGGCGUAAAGCGCACGCAGGCGGUCUGUCAAGUCGGAUGUGAAAUCCCCGGGCUCAACCGGGGAACUGCAUUCGAAACGGGCAGGCUAGAGUCUUGUAGAGAGGGGUAGAAUUCCAGGUGUAGCGGUGAAAUGCGUGGAGAUCUGGAGAAAUACCGGUGGCGAAGGCGGCCCCCUGGACAAAGACUGACGCUCAGGUGCGAAAGCGUGGGGAGCAAACAGG